This 253-nucleotide ribosomal RNA is filed under the name uncultured bacterium. RNAcentral describes it as "partial 16S ribosomal RNA". It matches the Rfam family "Bacterial small subunit ribosomal RNA", at positions 524 to 776 of the family's 1533-position model. The record is from RNAcentral.
UACAGAGGUCCCAAGCGUUGUUCGGAUUCACUGGGCGUAAAGGGUGCGUAGGUGGUUAGGUAAGUCCGAUGUGAAAUCUCCAGGCUCAACCUGGAAAUGGCAUUGGAUACUAUCUAGCUUGAGGAGUGGAGGGGGGACUGGAAUUCUCGGUGUAGCAGUGAAAUGCGUAGAUAUCGAGAGGAACACCAGUGGCGAAGGCGAGGCCCUGGACACUUCCUGACACUGAGGCACGUAGGCUAGGGGAGCAAACAGG